This 252-nucleotide ribosomal RNA is filed under the name uncultured bacterium. RNAcentral describes it as "partial 16S ribosomal RNA". It matches the Rfam family "Bacterial small subunit ribosomal RNA", at positions 524 to 776 of the family's 1533-position model. The record is from RNAcentral.
UACGUAGGGGGCUAGCGUUAUCCGGAAUUACUGGGCGUAAAGGGUGCGUAGGUGGUUUCUUAAGUCAGAGGUGAAAGGCUACGGCUCAACCGUAGUAAGCCUUUGAAACUGGGAAACUUGAGUGCAGGAGAGGAGAGUGGAAUUCCUAGUGUAGCGGUGAAAUGCGUAGAUAUUAGGAAGAACACCAGUAGCGAAGGCGAUUCUCUGGACUGUAACUGACGCUGAGGCUCGAAAGCGUGGGGAGCAAACAGG